GAAUGAUCAGGAGCAAGGGGAAACCCUUCUCCUUCAACUACUUACAAGAACUCAAGAAUUGAACCUGAUUUUGAGAAGAAAUCGAAUGCAUGAGGCUAGAUACAACAUAAUCUAAGUGUAUUGAUCAUAAGAAUCGGACCCACACAAGCAUGGACGUGGACUCAAGCACGAAAGACUAACGGGUCAAGAUGAGGCAAGCAAGCGGGUAUGAACACGGAUGCACAAGGAACGAGAAUAUCGGAUUCUUACGAAAAAUUAAGCUCUACCUGAAAUAAGAGGAUGAGUGCCACACGGACUUCUUCUGCUACUUAGAAAGUGAAGCGGAGGUAGAUCGAGUCAAGAGCAAGGAUUGCACGGAUAGAUCGGUCAUAUAAUUGAAGUGUAUAACGUCUAGUAAUGUAAAUUUUAGUAUAAAUGUUGUAAAUUCUUUUAUAGAACGUUUAACAUUUUUAGCAUUGGAACCUUCGCGAAAGUAAUGUCGUUAAUAAGGAAAGAAAUUUUUAAAGCCCUUU
This is a long non-coding RNA of Helianthus annuus (common sunflower), 512 nucleotides long. RefSeq lists it as uncharacterized. NCBI's taxonomy places the organism in Eukaryota, Viridiplantae, Streptophyta, Magnoliopsida, Asterales, Asteraceae. The record is from RefSeq and is a predicted model, not a curated record. The transcript is spliced from 4 exons.